Molecule: ribosomal RNA, 253 nt
Filed under: uncultured bacterium
Lineage: Bacteria
Description: partial 16S ribosomal RNA
Rfam family: Bacterial small subunit ribosomal RNA
Source: RNAcentral
UACGUAGGGGGCAAGCGUUGUCCGGAUUUAUUGGGCGUAAAGAGCGUGUAGGCGGCCAGUUAGGUCCGUUGUGAAAACUCGAGGCUCAACCUCGAGACGUCGGCGGAAACCAUCUGGCUAGAGUCCGGAAGAGGAGAGUGGAAUUCCUGGUGUAGCGGUGAAAUGCGCAGAUAUCAGGAAGAACACACGUGGCGAAGGCGGCUCUCUGGGACGGUACUGACGCUGAGACGCGAAAGCGUGGGGAGCGAACAGG